AUUUAAAUAGUUUAAUUUUGUAAAACAUAAUAUUGAAGAUAUUAAAAUAAUAAUUAAUAUUUUUAAAUG
This 69-nucleotide transfer RNA is filed under the name Eurytoma sp. ZJUH_2016013. RNAcentral's name for it is "tRNA-Phe". Lineage: Eukaryota; Metazoa; Arthropoda; Insecta; Hymenoptera; Eurytomidae. The record is from RNAcentral.